Molecule: long non-coding RNA, 577 nt
Filed under: Chinchilla lanigera (long-tailed chinchilla)
Lineage: Eukaryota; Metazoa; Chordata; Mammalia; Rodentia; Chinchillidae
Description: lncRNA (ENSCLAG00000023560.1)
Source: RNAcentral
AAAAUACAUAAAAAUGAUAAAUUCUAGUCAUGGCUCACAUUGGAAAUGCACCCCAGAAGCACCGUGGCUUCUCACAGCAGGGCAGGGGCAGCCCUAGUGGGGAGGAGCAGACUUCGGGGUCACUGGGUGUCCCAGGCUCCGCCUCUCCCCGGGGCAGGGCUGCAGGCAAUGGCUGUGUGUCAGGGUGUGUGUGUGUCAGGGUGUGUUGGUCUCUGCCUUGUAGACCAGAGCUGAUAAUCGGACACCUACGGGAGCUUGAGCAGGUGCUCCAGCAGCACGGUCUGUCGUUGCCUUUGUCCCUGAGGAUCGCUGACAGAUGCUUAGGGACCCAUUACAGAUCUGGGACGACGUCAAGAAGUGGAUGACAUCCAGGGAGCUGUUCUCCAGAUGGGCAUCAUGGUCGUGGCUGGCGAGAGCUAGAAAAAAGGAAGAGUGAGAGGUAGACAGAGGGAGGAAGAAGACGUUUCGCUGGUGCGUCAUCAACAGAAAACCAAACGGUCAGUGUUUAAUUUUGUUGUUGUUUUGGAGACAGGGUCUUGCUUGGUAGCCCAGGCUGGCCUCAAACUCAUGGCAAUCC